AGCUCCAGUAGCGUAUAUUAAAGUUGUUGCAGUUAAAAAGCUCGUAGUUGGACUUGGGUUUGGGCUUGAGCACUUGGUGUGACUUUAUGUUAGACUUGAGUGCCUGCCUGGACUUUUUGCGAGAUUUUGCUGCUGUUCUUGAUUGAAUGGUAGUAUAAUAUUUCGCACAUUUACUGUGAGAAAAUUAGAGUGUUCAAAACAAUACUACAGCAUGGAAUAAUGAGAUAAGACUUUGUCUUGCCUGAUUGGUUUUACGAAACAAAGUAAUGAUUGAUAGGGAUAGCUGGGGGUGCUAGUAUUCAGCGGCCAGAGGUGAAAUUCAUGGAUUCGCUGAAGACUAACUUAUGCGAAAGCAUUCACCAAGGAUGUCUUCUUUA
RNAcentral lists this ribosomal RNA (377 nucleotides) under Spongospora sp. Its description in RNAcentral is "partial small subunit ribosomal RNA". It matches the Rfam family "Eukaryotic small subunit ribosomal RNA", at positions 587 to 975 of the family's 1831-position model. Lineage: Eukaryota; Endomyxa; Phytomyxea; Plasmodiophorida; Plasmodiophoridae. The record is from RNAcentral.